This is an RNA transcript of Helicoverpa zea (corn earworm), 1982 nucleotides long. RefSeq lists it as uncharacterized. Lineage: Eukaryota; Metazoa; Arthropoda; Insecta; Lepidoptera; Noctuidae. The record is from RefSeq and is a predicted model, not a curated record. The transcript has 3 exons.
AUGUGAACAGUUGAGCGAAGUUCAGAUUGUUGAGGUUGAGUAUAGACUUAAUACUAUCGAAAAUCUAUAUGAUAAAUACGACGUGUUACAGGCCGACAUGGAAGAGAUGGUGGACGACCCUAGCGAGCAAUAUGCGGAGCGUGAGGAGUUCGAAAAGCAGUACUACAGCUUGGUGGCUGCAGCACGUCAGCUGAUCAGCAAUGCUCGCAAGCAAGCUUCAGGGAACUCCAUAGCCGAGGUUGAUGUUUCUUGUUCUAAGCACACACACAAACAUAAUUCUAUCCGUUUGCCUAAAAUUGACCUUCCUAAGUUUUCCGGCAACUAUCAUGAUUGGUUAGAGUUUAGAGACACUUUCAUUUCUAUAAUACACGAUAACGACAGCAUAGAUAACAUAAAUAAAUUACAUUAUCUUCGUGCCUCCUUAAAGGGUAGUGCUUCCUUAAUUAUUGACAAUCUUGACUUUAGAUCUGAUAACUACGACGCUGCCUGGAAGUUGCUCUGUGAUAGGUACGAUAAUAAAAGGUUGCUGGUUAAUAACCACGUUCAAUCACUUUUUAAUGUGCAGUCCAUCAGAAAGGAAUCAAGUAAGUCACUAAGACAUAUUGUUGACACCACAAAUAAAAAUUUAAGAGCAUUAUCUACACUGGGUCAACCUGUUGAGUACUGGGACACACUGAUCAUUUAUAUAAUGACAUGUAAACUUGACCAGGUGACAAACCGAGAGUGGGAGGAGCACAGGAACUCAUUGUCAGAACCUCCAACAUUGGCUGUAUUUAUUGAAUUCAUUCGUAACAGGGCUGAUUUAUUAGAAACGCUUGAGGAAUCCAAGUCAUUGUUUACUAAAGGCGAAGGUGUACAUGUCAACAAUAUUAAACAAUAUAAACAUUCUUCGGGUUCAAGUGAAACGUCUCGCAGUCCUUUAUCAUGUCCAAUGUGUCAAAAAGAUCACUUCAUUUUUCAAUGCGAUAAAUUCAAAAGCUUGCCUGUACAAUCACGUAUCAGUAAAGCUCAAACUUCCAAUGUAUGUUUAAAUUGUCUUCGACCAGGUCAUAAUAUUUAUAGAUGUAAAUUGGGUCACUGUAAGUAUUGUCGUGAGAAGCACAAUACAUUGUUGCACUUUGAUCGCGAUACCGUUGUUCCUAACCAACCGACUAGUACUUUAGCGUCUAUCAAUCACCUUUCUACAUCUCGAGUUGUCUUACUUUCCACAGCGCUGGUGAAUGUGUCGGAUGCUGAAGGCAACGUUCAUACUGCACGAAUCCUGCUGGAUAACGGGAGUACGACUAACCUUAUGUCACAGGAGUUGGCUCGUCAACUUAACAUUUCCACCUAUACAGUCGAGUCUAAGGAUACAUCGGUGGAUCACGUGUGAAUCAUCAUCUUCUAUGCAGUUGCAUGUGUUCACCGACGCAUCUGAAAGGGCGUAUGGUGCUUGUUUGCAUGUCCGCAGCGUAUCGCUUAGUGGUCCAGAACGAUAACGUAAACAACUUGCAGCGGUUCCGUCGCAUCGAAUGUUUGAAGCAACAUUUUUGGCCACGCUUCUCACCUGAGUACAUUUUGUGGCUCCAACAACGAACCAAAUAGCUCAGAUCGUCAGGGGAACUUACAGAAGGAACCCUUGUCGUCAUUAGAGAUAAAAGCUCACCUCCUCUGUUAUGGCUUUUAGGACGGAUCGUUAAGGUGCUUCCUGCUAGAGACGGCAUUGCACGAGUCGCCGACAUCCGCACACGUAAGGGUGUCAUUCGGCGAGCGUUCAACACAAUUUGCCCGUUACCCGUCGCCACUGCUGUUGAAGACACUUCAACGGGGGGAGUAUGUUGAGUCGUCCCACUCGCUUCAACUGCGUCUACGACAAGUGGGGGUGACUGUGACGUCGUGGUACAACGGCUCGCCGCGUAUGCGCCGGGUCCAGAGGUCAAAUCUUGCUUAUGCGCACCGGCCGCGCCCACGCGUUCUUACUACUUUAAUUCUUAUUUGCUUAA